RNAcentral lists this long non-coding RNA (277 nucleotides) under Capsicum annuum. RNAcentral's name for it is "long non-coding RNA (CANN_LNC021353)". The record is from RNAcentral. Lineage: Eukaryota; Viridiplantae; Streptophyta; Magnoliopsida; Solanales; Solanaceae.
CAAGCGUCACAUUUUGGCUAUUUAACUUCACCAAACUAGUGGCCGGGAAGUAAGCCCUUAAUUUAUCAAUAAAGGGUGUCAAUUUAACCCUCUUAUACUCCAAUUACAUCCACAUACCAUACAUAUUCAUAUAAUAUCCCCCAACACAACUUUGGCUUCAUUACACCUCCCAACCAAGACACAAAGCGAAAUGAGCAAUAGACGUACACAAUCAUUAAUUCAGUGGUGUAUCACCACAUCCAUCUUCUAUAGUUCAAUACAAACUAAUCACACCUUU